Molecule: ribosomal RNA, 465 nt
Filed under: uncultured bacterium
Lineage: Bacteria
Description: partial 16S ribosomal RNA
Rfam family: Bacterial small subunit ribosomal RNA
Source: RNAcentral
GAUGAACGCUGGCGGCGUGCUUAACACAUGCAAGUCGAACGGAAAGGCUCCUGCUUGCAGGGGUACUCGAGUGGCGAACGGGUGAGUAACACGUGGGUGAUCUGCCCUGCACUUCGGGAUAAGCCUGGGAAACUGGGUCUAAUACCGGAUAGGACGAUGGUUUGGAUGCCAUUGUGGAAAGUUUUUCGGUGUGGGAUGAGCUCGCGGCCUAUCAGCUUGUUGGUGGGGUAAUGGCCUACCAAGGCGUCGACGGGUAGCCGGCCUGAGAGGGUGUACGGCCACAUUGGGACUGAGAUACGGCCCAGACUCCUACGGGAGGCAGCAGUGGGGAAUAUUGCACAAUGGGCGGAAGCCUGAUGCAGCGACGCCGCGUGGGGGAUGACGGCCUUCGGGUUGUAAACUGCUUUCGCUAGGGACGAAGCGCAAGUGACGGUACCUGGAGAAGAAGCACCGGCUAACUACGUG